CUCUCCUCAUGCACCAGUACGGCCUUCCCAGACCUUGAGCCUUCAGGGAGAACUGUGUACUGCAUACCUGCUACUUUCCCAUGGAGCGAGUGAGCAGAAGCUUGGCUCUUCCUUCCCCACAAUGUGCAAUGUUCAGCAGAGCCAGCACAGGGAUCAGGGGAUAGUGAUUUUGCUGCUGGUAUAGGCUAGUAGCAAAUUAUUACCCCUCUUGCUCUAGGGGAUAUAGUACACAGGACUUGUGGUAAAGGCACAAUCUAGCCCUAUAUUUAUUAUAUGCACAGCUUUGAAUCUUCAAGAAAUGUACUAAUCAGCUUGCAUUUCCACAAAAACGUUGGAAAAUCUCAUUGACCUUUUUUUGUGCUCUAACUUAAAACUAAAUGGGUGUUUCAAGUCUCAUCAUAAGCCUAUUACUGAGAUUUCAAUAUACAGUGAUCAAUUGAACAUCAUAUGGAAAGCAAAGGUGAAACUGGGACCUGCAUAAGCUCCAGAGGACAAGAAAACAAACAUCAAGCAGCUAAACCAUGAAAACACUUAGGAAGAAACCUGAUUGUGAAAGAAAUGCAGAAUUGGAGCUAUUACUUUGGUGCUUUGAUUUUUACUUUAAUAUGGAACUGUGUCUUCUUCAAGAAACAGUGGAUAUACUCAGAGGAGAAAUCAGGGUUGUGUAGUGAAUGAGGCUGUUGUGUGUAGGGCCCCUGCCUCAACAGGUCCUGACUUUUAUUUUCCUGGUAGGUGCUCCACUCCCCUCCCCCCCCCACUCCACCUCUUCUAGCCCCCCACUCCAUCCCAUCGCCUCCUCUCCCCUUCACCCCUCCCGCUCACUUCUCUCCGCCCUCUCCUGAGCACCUCCUGCUAGCCACUGAACAGCUGAUUGGCGCCAGCCCAACAGCUGAGCACUCCCUAUUUUUUUCACUUGGGUGCUUGAUCCCUGGAACACCCAUGGAGUUGGUGCCUAUGCCUGCCUCAUUAGUUGCAGUAACCAAAAGAUGUGUAGUGAAUGACGCAAGGGACUGAAGGAAGAGAUAGGAUGGUGUUAUGGUUAAGGCAGUUGAAUACUGCCCUGGAGAACUGGAUUUUAUCCUUGCCUCUGCCACAGAGUUCUAUUUGAUGCCAAGCAAGUCACUUAAACUAAAGUUUCCAUGGGGGCCGGGUCACUUGGGGUUAUAGACUCAUCAUUUUCUGGAUGCCUGACUAGAGAUCAAUUUGCAGAAGGGCUGAGCAGUCACAGCUGCAAUGGAAAACAGUGGGAGCUGUGCUUGGAACAUAUAAAGUGCUAUAUAAUGCUAUGUACUCUGGGGAAAAAAAUCAGAUCUUAGGCAGCUGAAAUUGGGCACCCAAACUUAGUGGGCAUUUUUACCUUAAUCUUUGUGUCUCAAUUCCCCAUCUGCAAAAUGAGGAUAAUUCUACUGCCUUCCCUCACAGAGGUGUUGUGAAGAUAAGUUAAUGUUUGUGAAGCACACAUUGUGGAUUUCCCCUACCCUUGCUUCGCUCUCAGAAGUGGGUGAGCCAUCUUGGUUGAAACAUUCCAAAGCAUUUCCACCUGACAGAGCCACUAUGCAUGGGAAAUUUCACCCCAAGCAGUUAGUUUGGCAAAGUUAUAAGUCACUGAAAACAGAGUCUUAUUAUGGGAAGUGUCUGGCAACCUUAAUAGACAGCACUACCAGAACCACCUAUCUGGAAUAUGCAUAUUUUCUGAGUUUGCCUUGUGCACUCAGAAAGACACGUGAGGGGACAGAACUUUAAGUCAAUGUUAAAAUCUCCCAUUCUGGGAGCAGAGUGGGGUUCAAAUUGAAGUGCAACAUGCAGCCAGUCCCUCAUUUUACUGUCUCUGAAUGUGGACAGACUGACUUUGAUUUUAGGUAUGGGUUGUAGGGUCUAUAUACAUGGCAGAAACAGCUCUUUCCUUCCCUCACUCCCACCCUAACGAAGGAACUCUUUCUCCCAUUGCCUCUGCAUCAGCGCCUCCUCCCACUGCCUCCUUUCCCUCCUCCCCAACAUGCAAGGAUUCUCUCCCCUUUGCAAGCUCUCCUAUUAUGCUGCCUGUGCAGCGCACUGUCGUCUUCUCUGCCCUUCCCAAAAUGCCCUCCACCCACUUUCUACCACCUUCCUUCCCACUGCCAACUUCUCCUCCCCUGUGCAGACAGUCCCAUCCUCAAUUUCCCCUGCUACCUUCCUUUGCUAUUCCUCCAUGUAAGAAAACUACCCCACUUACUCUCUCUUUCCCUCCCAUUACCGAGAUCCACUUGUCCUGACUCUCGCUCCCUCUCUUUCCGCUCACGGCAGCAGAAUGCUGGGAGGAGGUGGUAGAGAACACACCAGCCAUGGAAAUAUUGUGGGGGCUCCACCCCUGUGUAAACACACACAUCUGAGUCAAGGAGCAGGACAUGGAGGGGCUAGAACAGGCCCAGGAGCAGAGAGGAACACAUGGGACACUUAUUCCUAGCCUGAAGCCAGCUCCUUCUCCCCCCGCCUCCACUCAUUCCUUUCUAUCCCUCCAGCCCACCAUUCACGGGGAGCUUCCCCUGCCCUCUUUUCACUUAUUUGGGCUCUUUCCAUCCUUUCUUUGACUGAAGGAGACUGGGGGUCAGCAGUACACAGCUCAGCUCUAUCCCUCUAUGAAGUAAGCCUCACACUGAUCAGAAAUGCCUGCAGCAUUGCAGUAUUUCUGCUUUUCUCCAGAGAACUAGAGCAGAGUCAGCCUCUGUACAGCCUUAUGGAGGCUUGAGGGAAAAAGCAUCAGAAAAUUCUGCUGGGGCCUAGCCGCAAUUGCCCCUAAUUACUGUCAAUGUUUCCAGAAGUUGGCAUUGGGUAUCAAGUUUGCUGAUGAGGAUGGCACAAACACCAACAUGCUUAGAGAACAGCACUGCUGAUUACAGCUGGGUGAAUAAUGCAAACACAUUUCCCUCCAAGGAGAUUACCUAGAUUCCUGGGGCCCUGUCUGCUGGCAGCUCAGGGGGAGCCAAGGCAAACUCAGAGUCUGCCCGGCAACCAAUAGGUAGUGAGAUGCCCCUCCCAGGGAGUUCAGGAAAGGGGAGAAGCCAUUUUUAAGUCAGCCUGGAGCCAGCCAGGGCAAGGGCAGGACUGGCUGUGUGGGGAGCUGGUGAGUCCCAGGCCUGCAUACAGGGUUCCCCCUGAAAACUGGGCUCUAGGGAUCUGAAAGGAAGAUCCCUCAGCUUUUCCUUCUCCACUGUU
Molecule: non-coding RNA, 3192 nt
Organism: Chrysemys picta bellii (western painted turtle)
Lineage: Eukaryota; Metazoa; Chordata; Testudines; Emydidae
Source: RefSeq, a predicted model, not a curated record